Molecule: ribosomal RNA, 298 nt
Filed under: uncultured bacterium
Lineage: Bacteria
Description: partial 16S ribosomal RNA
Rfam family: Bacterial small subunit ribosomal RNA
Source: RNAcentral
CUAUGCGCCUUGCCAGCCCGCUCAGGUGUGCCAGCCGCCGCGGUAAUACGGAGGAUGCGAGCGUUAUCCGGAUUUAUUGGGUUUAAAGGGUGCGUAGGCGGGAUGCCAAGUCAGCGGUAAAAAUGCGGUGCUCAACGCCGUCGAGCCGUUGAAACUGGCGUUCUUGAGUGGGCGGGAAGUAUGCGGAAUGCGUGGUGUAGCGGUGAAAUGCAUAGAUAUCACGCAGAACUCCGAUUGCGAAGGCAGCAUACCGGCGCCCGACUGACGCUGAGGCACGAAAGCGUGGGGAUCGAACAGG